GACGAACGCUGGCGGCGUGCCUAAUACAUGCAAGUAGAACGCUGAAGGAGGAGCUUGCUUCUCUGGAUGAGUUGCGAACGGGUGAGUAACGCGUAGGUAACCUGACUGGUAGCGGGGGAUAACUAUUGGAAACGAUAGCUAAUACCGCAUAAGAGUAGAUGUUGCAUGACAUUUGCUUAAAAGGUGCAAUUGCAUCACUACCAGAUGGACCUGCGUUGUAUUAGCUAGUUGGUGGGGUAACGGCUUACCAAGGCGACGAUACAUAGCCGACCUGAGAGGGUGAUCGGCCACACUGGGACUGAGACACGGCCCAGACUCCUACGGGAGGCAGCAGUAGGGAAUCUUCGGCAAUGGACGGAAGUCUGACCGAGCAACGCCGCGUGAGUGAAGAAGGUUUUCGGAUCGUAAAGCUCUUUUGUAAGAGAAGAACGAGUGUGAGAGUGGAAAGUUCACACUGUGACGGUAUCUUACCAGAAAGGGACGGCUAACUACGUG
RNAcentral lists this ribosomal RNA (495 nucleotides) under uncultured bacterium. RNAcentral describes it as "partial 16S ribosomal RNA". It matches the Rfam family "Bacterial small subunit ribosomal RNA", at positions 28 to 507 of the family's 1533-position model. The record is from RNAcentral.